GGCCUGCUAGCUCAGUCGGUUAGAGCGUCGUGCUAAUAACGCGAAGGUCGUAGGUUCGAUCCCUGCGCAGGCCC
Molecule: transfer RNA, 74 nt
Filed under: Rhipicephalus sanguineus (brown dog tick)
Lineage: Eukaryota; Metazoa; Arthropoda; Arachnida; Ixodida; Ixodidae
Description: transfer RNA isoleucine (anticodon AAU)
Rfam family: tRNA
About the family: Transfer RNA (tRNA) molecules are approximately 80 nucleotides in length. Their secondary structure includes four short double-helical elements and three loops (D, anti-codon, and T loops). Further hydrogen bonds mediate the characteristic L-shaped molecular structure. tRNAs have two regions of fundamental functional importance: the anti-codon, which is responsible for specific mRNA codon recognition, and the 3' end, to which the tRNAs corresponding amino acid is attached (by aminoacyl-tRNA synthetases). tRNAs cope with the degeneracy of the genetic code in two manners: having more than one tRNA (with a specific anti-codon) for a particular amino acid; and 'wobble' base-pairing, i.e. permitting non-standard base-pairing at the 3rd anti-codon position.
Source: Rfam by way of RNAcentral